GAUGAACGCUAGCGGCAGGCCUAACACAUGCAAGUCGAGGGGUAGAGUUCUUCGGAACUUGAGACCGGCGCACGGGUGCGUAACGCGUAUGCAAUCUACCUUAUACAGGGGAAUAGCCCAGAGAAAUUUGGAUUAAUGCCCCAUGGUAUUAUAGAGUGGCAUCACUUUAUAAUUAAAGUUCCAACGGUAUAAGAUGAGCAUGCGUCCCAUUAGUUAGUUGGUAAGGUAACGGCUUACCAAGACAAUGAUGGGUAGGGGUCCUGAGAGGGAGAUCCCCCACACUGGUACUGAGACACGGACCAGACUCCUACGGGAGGCAGCAGUGAGGAAUAUUGGUCAAUGGGCGCAAGCCUGAACCAGCCAUGCCGCGUGCAGGAAGAAGCAUCUAUGGUGUGUAAACUGCUUUUAUACAGGAAGAAACAACUCUACGUGUAGAGUCUUGACGGUACUGUAAGAAUAAGGACCGGCUAAACUCCGUGCCAGCAG
RNAcentral lists this ribosomal RNA (486 nucleotides) under uncultured bacterium. Its description in RNAcentral is "bacterial SSU rRNA". It matches the Rfam family "Bacterial small subunit ribosomal RNA", at positions 28 to 514 of the family's 1533-position model. The record is from RNAcentral.